UACGAAGGGUGCAAGCGUUACUCGGAAUUACUGGGCGUAAAGCGUGCGUAGGUGGUUUGUUAAGUCUGUUGUGAAAGCCCCGGGCUCACCUGGGAAUGGCAAUGGAUACUGGCAGGCUAGAGUGCGGUAGAGGGUAGUGGAAUUCCCGGUGUAGCGGUGAAAUGCGUAGAGAUCGGGAGGAACACCAGUGGCGAAGGCGGCUACCUGGACCAGCACUGACACUGAGGCACGAAAGCGUGGGGAGCAAACAGG
RNAcentral lists this ribosomal RNA (252 nucleotides) under uncultured bacterium. Its description in RNAcentral is "partial 16S ribosomal RNA". It matches the Rfam family "Bacterial small subunit ribosomal RNA", at positions 524 to 776 of the family's 1533-position model. The record is from RNAcentral.